AUGAGGUGCUACAAGGCACGAAGCAACAAGAAGGGAAAAGGUGUUGCGCCUGUCGUUCCGGAACGAAAGAGAGGUAUCAUUGUCAAGACGGAAUGCCCUGUCCGGUGUAAGCUAAACGUAGAUGGAGCACGGUGGGUGGUCACUGAAUAUUUUGACGAGCACAACCACGAACUCAUAAAGAAGUUUGACCUGGUAAAAUUUCUGACCGCCCACAGAGAUUCACCCCCCAUCGAGAAGAAAUUCAUAAAGCUGCUACAUGAUUGUAAAGUCGGUCCAUCAAGAAUGGUCCAGAUACUGUCCCUCGUCCACAGCAAAAAUGGGACUCUGAGUAGCAUGCCCUACAUACCAGCAGACGUCACAAACCUAAAGGAAAAGUACCAUAGAGAGAGCGGGUUGGCUGACAUAGAAGACACGAUAGCCUACUUCAAUGAGAAAGCCAAAGAAGAUCCGGAUUUCUUCUACAGGAUAAGAUUGGACGAUGAGGACCGUGUCAGGAACAUGUAUUGGGUGGAUGGUGCUGCAAGAAGAGCCUACAAAUAUUUUCGAGAUUGCAUUUCAUUCGACGCAACAUAUCUCACUAAUAUGUACAAGAUGCCAUGUGCUCCAUUCAUAGGAAUAAAUAACCGCAAUUAGUCAUUGCAGUUCGGAUGCGGGCUUGUUCGGAACGAAGACGCGGAUGGGUACACUUGGCUGUUCAAGACCUUCUUGGAGUGCAUGGGUGAACUUGCUCCGAUGAACAUAAUAACAGACCAGGAUUUUAGCAUGCGUGCAGGCAUAGAGGAGGUCUUUCCGUUGGCAGUGCACAGGCACUACAGGUGGCACAUUAUAAAGAAGUUUGAGGAGACGCUAGAUUUUGAACGGAGCUGGAUGGCUAUGAUUGAAACAUAUCAAGUCCAAGAGAACGAGACGCUUGCUAGCCUGUGGGAGAAGCGAAUGUACUGGGUGCCGGCCUACUUCAUGCAGUGCUUCUUCCCAUUUCUGCAGACUAGACAGCGCAGCGAGGGGUUCAAUGCUGCUUUGAAGCGGUACGUGAGCCCUGGCAACUCAUUGCUGCAGCUUGCCGAGCAAUACACUGCUUUGCAACAGAAAAUGUUGGGAUCUGAGCUACAGCAAGAAGCAAACACCGCGCUCAAGCAGCCUAAAUUGCUGACAUAUUUACCAAUGGAGAGGCAGAUGAGCAAGACAUGCAUGUCGGAUUCAGAACCUGAAGACCCAGACAAAGGGAGGAACUACUUUGUGAAGGCCUUGAUAAGUGAAGGCGAAUACUACUGCCAAUGCUGCAAAUUCGAACGGGGCGGUAUUGUGUGCUGUCACAUACUAAAAAUAAUGGACAUGAACGCGGAGAGACCAGAGUCAACCAUGGAAGCCGUGAGGCACGUUGUGUUGACAAAGAACUUUGCUGAGCUAAUAGAUGAAGCGUGCAAGAGUGAUGAGACAGCGAGGGUUGCAGAAAAACACAUGAAGGCCUUGAAAAGAGGGCUUGAUGAGAUCAAGAAGAGGAGAGCUAAGGAAGCCUUACACAGGUUCCCCCACACCUCAAGUGUGCCUUCGUCCACGGGGCCAUCAUCUAAAAACUCGGAGGUAAGAUCUGGAACAGCAAGCACACAAACCCAGGUCAGGAACCCGCCCCGUUCCAUCACAAAGGGGCGUCCAAAAGAGAUAAGAUACAAAUCGGGAUUGGAGAUUCAAGCAAAUUAA
RNAcentral lists this ribosomal RNA (1698 nucleotides) under Triticum aestivum (bread wheat). RNAcentral describes it as "partial small subunit ribosomal RNA". The record is from RNAcentral. Lineage: Eukaryota; Viridiplantae; Streptophyta; Magnoliopsida; Poales; Poaceae.